This 253-nucleotide ribosomal RNA is filed under the name uncultured bacterium. RNAcentral's name for it is "partial 16S ribosomal RNA". It matches the Rfam family "Bacterial small subunit ribosomal RNA", at positions 524 to 776 of the family's 1533-position model. The record is from RNAcentral.
UACGGGGGGGGCAAGCGUUGUUCGGAAUUACUGGGCGUAAAGGGCUCGUAGGCGGCCAACUAAGUCCGACGUGAAAUCCCAAGGCUUAACCUUGGAACUGCGUCGGAUACUGGAUGGCUUGAAUUCGGGUGAGGGAUGCAGAAUUCCAGGUGUAGCGGUGAAAUGCGUAGAUAUCUGGAGGAAUACCGGUGGCGAAGGCGGCAUCCUGGACCGACAUUGACGCUGAUGAGCGAAAGCUAGGGGAGCAAACGGG